Molecule: unclassified non-coding RNA, 250 nt
Filed under: Glomus sp.
Lineage: Eukaryota; Fungi; Glomeromycota; Glomeromycetes; Glomerales; Glomeraceae
Description: partial contains 5.8S ribosomal RNA and internal transcribed spacer 2
Rfam family: 5.8S ribosomal RNA (bases 1-71)
Source: RNAcentral
GUGAAUCAUCAAAUUGUUGAACGCAAAGUGCACUCUCUGGUAUUCCGGAGAGUAUGCCUGGUUGAGGAUCAGUGUGAAUAAAAGUCGGUGUGGUUGCUGCCUUUCGUGGUGACGCACGGGAGUUGGGUCGGCUUGCCUGCGGUUAAGUGACCUAAAAUUUUGCAUGAUUUUUUUCGAACGUAUUUAAAUGAAUUUAAGUACGUUUGCGAUAUCGAAUACUAGGUGUGGUCAGCCGCGUGAUUCGCGCCUA